Molecule: long non-coding RNA, 2113 nt
Organism: Canis lupus familiaris (dog)
Lineage: Eukaryota; Metazoa; Chordata; Mammalia; Carnivora; Canidae
Exons: 4
Source: RefSeq, a predicted model, not a curated record
GGAUACACACAUCUACAUCAAACUGUUCCUAUAUUUAUCUGAAUCUGAAUAUGGAAAAGUCUAUAAGUUCAUACUGAGGCUUAAAAUCCCCAUCUACAACUUCAAAGUUCUUUCUAGCCUUUCCUUUUCCAAGCUUGUAAAAUACCUUCUCAGAGAGUAAGAAACCUGGCUUCCAUUAUCCUCAAUGUAUUUCCUUAUUUGCUCUAUCAAUUAACUUCUUUGGUCAGUUUUCAAGUACUACGCCUAUCUUUUCCCUCUGCCCCUUCCAUGCUGCCCCUGCUGAUCACCUUGCUUCUUCACAUUCUAGCAUCUAUGCCCCAGAGUGGGAAGUGAAGGGAAUAUGAGAAUGAAAGGGAAAAUGGGGAAAAGAAAUAAAGAUGAAAGGGACAAGGAAAUGUCUUUAUUCCGUAAGUUUAUUUCUAAACACUUGUGUUCCUUGUAGCCUACAGUGUGCUAAAUGAUACAGCUGAUCACACAUGAUUGCAUUUAUUUGUUUACAGAUAUGUCUGCCCACCUAAUGAUGAGCUGGGGAACAUAAUCAUCUCUGUAUCUCUCUAUCUCCAGUGCUUGUCACAUGGAGAAAAAUCAAAUUUAAUAGAUGUACCUAUGAGGAAUCUACACAGUUGUGAAAUUCCAAAGACAAUGGAGCAACAUGAAGAUUAUAUGAGCUAAGGAGAGGGGUUCCCUUGUGAGAAGAAUACACUGACUUUGGAGUUGCCCAAGUGGCUUGCUAUCACAUACAAAGAGGAGAGAAGCCAUGGUAUGUGAGGUCCAAGAAAAUGCCUUCAGCCAUCUUGCACUUCUGCUCUCCACAAUGAGUAGAUUGUGCCUGUGGUAGGCAUUGUUUUUCAUCCUGAAUCCUGGAUACAGAGACUCAUGGAGUAGAUUGGAACCCAGACUGUAAACUGGCGUGAAGAGCAACUCAAUUGGCCAGAUAGAGCACCAAAUACAUGAUCUAUGAAAGGAAUAAUACGUUGGACUUCAUUAUAAUUAAGAACUUCUGCUCUGUAAAAGAUGCUGCAAGAGAUGAGAUAAGACAUAGACUGGGAGAAGAUAUUUGCAGAAGUCAUAUCUGAUAAAGGAUUGUUAUCUAAAAUAGACAAAGAACUCUUAAAACUCAAUAAUAAGAAAACAUACAAGCUGAUUUAAAAAUGGGCAAAGGAUCUGAGGAGACUCGUCAACAAAGAACAUAUAUAGCUGAUAAAUAAGCAUAUGAAAUCCUGCUCAACAUCAUAUACCUCAGGGAACUGCAAAUUAAAACAAUGAGAUAUCACUACAUACCUAUUAGAAUGGCAAAAAUCCAAAACACUGACAACACCAAAUGCUAGUGAACCUGUGGAGCAGUAAGAACUCUCAUUCAUUGCUGAUGGAAAUGCCAAAUGGAACAGCCACUUCGGAAGACAGUUUGGCAGUUUCUUACAAAACUAAACACAUUAUUACCAUAUAAUUCAACAAUCACUCCCCAUGGUAUUUAGUUAAAUGAGUUGAAAACGUAUGUCCACACAAAAACCUGUACACAGUUGUUUAUAGCAACUCUAUCAUAAUUGCCAAAACUUAGAAUCAACCAAGAUGUCCUUCAGUGGAUAACUGAAAUGGAUAAAUAAACUGUGUUACAUCUAUUUAAUGGAAUAUUAUUCAGUGCUAAAAAGAAAUAAGUUAUCAAGUCACAAAGAGAUAGGAAAUUUAAAUGCAUGUUGCUUAGUGAAAAAAGGCAAUAUGAAAAGGCAACAUAUUGUAUAAUUCCAACUGUAAGAUUUCUUGAAAAGGCAAAACUAUGGAGACAGUCUUUUUACUGUAAGUGCUUGCUAGAGGUUUUUAGGGGGUGAGAGAUGAAUGGAUGAGCAUAGAGGAUUUUUAGAGCAGUGAAACUAUUCUGUAUAAUACAAUAAAGAUAGAUAUGUGUCACUAUGCAUUUGUCCAAAUGUAUAGGAUGUACAAUAAGAAUGAACCCUAAUGAAAACUAUUGGCUGUGAGUGAUAAUGAUGUGUCAGUGGAGGUUCAUCAGUUGUAAGAAAUGUACCACUCUGGUAUAGGAUGUUGAUAGUGGGGCAGGUUGUUUGUCUCAGAUGGAGAGACAGGUGAUGUAAAGUAACUCUCAGUUCUUUCCACUCAA